AACUACAGCCAAAUUCCACUGACUAAACCUGUUCUCGUCCGUUCACAGAAGAAAAACAGUAUCAGGCCUGGUCAGUACUUGGAUGGGAGACCAUCUUGGAAUUCCAGGUGCUGUACAGUUU
This 121-nucleotide ribosomal RNA is filed under the name Poecilia reticulata (guppy). The record is from RNAcentral. Lineage: Eukaryota; Metazoa; Chordata; Actinopteri; Cyprinodontiformes; Poeciliidae.